UUAAACAGGGGUGCUGAUAAGGCUGAGACGGCAAAUGCCGAACCCUAGACCUGAUACGGAUAAUACCGGCGUAGGAAGUUUAUUAA
RNAcentral lists this non-coding RNA (86 nucleotides) under bovine gut metagenome. RNAcentral describes it as "TPP riboswitch (THI element)". It matches the Rfam family "TPP riboswitch aptamer (THI element)", at positions 6 to 97 of the family's 105-position model. From Rfam's summary of the family: Vitamin B(1) in its active form thiamin pyrophosphate (TPP) is an essential coenzyme that is synthesised by coupling of pyrimidine and thiazole moieties in bacteria. The previously detected thiamin-regulatory element, thi box was extended, resulting in a new, highly conserved RNA secondary structure, the THI element, which is widely distributed in eubacteria and also occurs in some archaea. The record is from RNAcentral.